AUUGAACGCUGGCGGCAGGCCUAACACAUGCAAGUCGAACGGUAGCACAGAGAGCUUGCUCUCGGGUGACGAGUGGCGGACGGGUGAGUAAUGUCUGGGAAACUGCCCGAUGGAGGGGGAUAACUACUGGAAACGGUAGCUAAUACCGCAUAACGUCUUCGGACCAAAGUGGGGGACCUUCGGGCCUCACACCAUCGGAUGUGCCCAGAUGGGAUUAGCUAGUAGGUGGGGUAAUGGCUCACCUAGGCGACGAUCCCUAGCUGGUCUGAGAGGAUGACCAGCCACACUGGAACUGAGACACGGUCCAGACUCCUACGGGAGGCAGCAGUGGGGAAUAUUGCACAAUGGGCGCAAGCCUGAUGCAGCCAUGCCGCGUGUAUGAAGAAGGCCUUCGGGUUGUAAAGUACUUUCAGCGGGGAGGAAGGCAAUGAGGUUAAUAACCGCAUCGAUUGACGUUACCCGCAGAAGAAGCACCGGCUAACUCCGUG
This 488-nucleotide ribosomal RNA is filed under the name uncultured bacterium. RNAcentral's name for it is "partial 16S ribosomal RNA". It matches the Rfam family "Bacterial small subunit ribosomal RNA", at positions 30 to 507 of the family's 1533-position model. The record is from RNAcentral.